AUAUAAAACACAACUGAAUUUAAUGAUUAGUACACGUCUGCUCUGUUGAUGAGCUGGUGACAUCGGAUGAGUAACUGUUUCAGUGUGCGGAAAGUUAUGCGGCCACUGCAUGCAACUGUUGCAAGGACUGCCCUAAUUCCCAAGUAUCUCCUGAGUCAGGAGUGGGAACAUGAAGAAAAGAGAAGAAAAAGAAAGAAGACAGCAGUCCCAACAGUAUACAAGGUGAUUUAUAGGCAUCGCUUCAUGUAAUUGUCACAAGACCCUGCACGGAUUGGAAUAGUGUCCUAUCAAUAAUGCCUAUUUUAUAUUGGAGAAAAUAAGCACAAGAAUUGUGCAGACUAUGCUUUCCAGUUGAAACAUUCUACAUAUAAACAUCCUCAGAAACCAGUUCUUUUACAUCUGAUUAACCUGUCUUAUAAGAGCAAGAACAUCUAUUUGUGCAACUCAAGGGGAAAAGACGUCUGACUUAAUCAUUUGCCUGCUCCCCCCGCCUCUUCACUUGGAUAAGCUUAUGCAUUUCCAGGGCCACCUUAAUGCGCAGGGGCCACCUCCAUCUCUCAGGCCCAAGGCAAGAGCUCGAGUCACGGUAAACUCGAUGAGAGGCAAGACUGCCAAACAAACCAGACAGAUAUUUUAUCUUAAACAGAUUUCAAAGGAACAUCAAAGUUUUCUGGAAAAUAUACUUCUCCAAUCUGCAUUUCAUGUUUUCUGAAGUGCCGACUGCCAGAGC
RNAcentral lists this long non-coding RNA (730 nucleotides) under Equus caballus (horse). RNAcentral describes it as "lncRNA (ENSECAG00000047985.1)". The record is from RNAcentral. Lineage: Eukaryota; Metazoa; Chordata; Mammalia; Perissodactyla; Equidae.